Molecule: ribosomal RNA, 807 nt
Filed under: uncultured bacterium
Lineage: Bacteria
Description: bacterial SSU rRNA
Rfam family: Bacterial small subunit ribosomal RNA
Source: RNAcentral
AGAGUUUGAUCCUGGCUCAGGACGAACGCUGGCGGCGUGCCUAACACAUGCAAGUCGAGCGGAGACAUAAUCAAACCGGACGCCUUCUGGCGGAAGGUGCGGUUAUGUUUUAGCGGCGGAGGGGUGACUACCGCGUGAACAACCUUUCCUUCACAGGGGAAUAACACAUCGAAAGUUGUACUAAUACCGCAUAAUGACCACAGGGCGGCAUCGUCCGGGGGUCAAAGGAGCAAUCCGGUGAAAGGUGGGCUCGCGUCCGAUUAGAUAGUUGGUGAGGUAACAGCCACCAACUAAACGAUCGGUAGCCCACCUGAGAGGGUGAUCAGCCACAUUGGGAGUGACACCCGGACCAAACUCCGACGGGAGGCAGCAGUGGGGAAUAUUGCGCAAUGGGGGGAACCCUGACCCAGCAACGCCGCGUGAGGGAAGAAUGUUUUCGGAUUGUAAACCUCUGUCCUUGGAGAAGAGAAAGAGACGGUCACCAGGGACGAAGCCCCGGCUAAUUACGUGCCAGCAGCCGCGGUAAUACGUAGGGGGCAAGCGUUUUCCGGAAUGAUUGGGCGUAAAGGGCGCGUAGGCGGUUCCUUAAUUAUGGAGUGAAAGUCCUGCCUUCAAUGUGGGAAUUGCUUUGGAUACUGGGGAGCUUGAGUGCAGGAGAGGUAAGUGGAAUUCCCAGUGUAGCGGUGAAAUGCGUAGAGAUUGGGAGGAACACCAGUGGCGAAGGCGACUUUCUGGACUGUAACUGACGCUGAGGCGCGAAAGUGUGGGGAGCAAACAGGAUAAGAUACCCUGGUAGUCCACACUGUA